RNAcentral lists this ribosomal RNA (276 nucleotides) under uncultured bacterium. Its description in RNAcentral is "partial 16S ribosomal RNA". It matches the Rfam family "Bacterial small subunit ribosomal RNA", at positions 29 to 334 of the family's 1533-position model. The record is from RNAcentral.
AACGAACGCUGGCGGCAGGCUUAACACAUGCAAGUCGAGCGCCCCGCAAGGGGAGCGGCAGACGGGUGAGUAACGCGUGGGAAUCUACCCAGCUCUACGGAAUAACCCAGGGAAACUUGGACUAAUACCGUAUACGUCCUUCGGGAGAAAGAUUUAUCGGAGUUGGAUGAGCCCGCGUUGGAUUAGCUAGUUGGUGGGGUAAAGGCCUACCAAGGCGACGAUCCAUAGCUGGUCUGAGAGGAUGAUCAGCCACACUGGGACUGAGACACGGCCCAG